This 465-nucleotide ribosomal RNA is filed under the name uncultured organism. RNAcentral describes it as "eukaryotic LSU rRNA". The stretch from base 90 to 243 matches the Rfam family "5.8S ribosomal RNA". The record is from RNAcentral.
UCUUGUUUCCUUGGUGGGUUCGCCCACCACUAGGACAAACAUAAACCUUUUGUAAUUGCAAUCAGCGUCAGUAACAAAUUAAUAAUUACAACUUUCAACAACGGAUCUCUUGGUUCUGGCAUCGAUGAAGAACGCAGCGAAAUGCGAUAAGUAGUGUGAAUUGCAGAAUUCAGUGAAUCAUCGAAUCUUUGAACGCACAUUGCGCCCUUUGGUAUUCCAAAGGGCAUGCCUGUUCGAGCGUCAUUUGUACCCUCAAGCUUUGCUUGGUGUUGGGCGUCUUGUCUCUAGCUUUGCUGGAGACUCGCCUUAAAGUAAUUGGCAGCCGGCCUACUGGUUUCGGAGCGCAGCACAAGUCGCACUCUCUAUCAGCAAAGGUCUAGCAUCCAUUAAGCCUUUUUUUCAACUUUUGACCUCGGAUCAGGUAGGGAUACCCGCUGAACUUAAGCAUAUCAAUAAGCGGAGGAA